UGCGCUUCGGCGCAGCCGACCGCCGUGAAGCUGUCUUUUCACUCCUCCUGUUGCGCUUUGUUUUGCGGGCGAGGGACGUUGUCGGUUGUCUGUUUGGUUCUACCCUCGAGGGGGAUGACAUUAUUGUUUCAUGAUGGAUUUUCGCUUGCCCCGUCGGUAUUUUUUUAUCGUUGGUGCAGCCGAUUUGUUGGCUAAAUACUUGAGCUGCAGUGGGUGUACGCACCUGUACUCGGCACUCGAAUUUUGCUGGCUCUCGCGGAUGCAGUGUCCAUCGGGGAAUUCGUUGGGCCUCUGGUCCUCGGAUUUCCUCGGGAGGUCCCUUGCACGGAUCAUUGCUCUGCCGCUCUGCUCUCGUUGUCCCGGUUGCUGGGAUGUCGUGGCGGCGCGUGCGGGGUGUGCUCCUGUGCAUGCGAGAUGUUUUGCCCGAUCGAAUGAGCGACUGCCGGUUUACGUCUUGUGCGUGGACUCCUAUUUAUUUAGGGUUUGCCGCAAUGAUGUGUCGGCGCUCGUUUAAAACGUGCUACCUGGUUGAUCCUGCCAGUA
Molecule: unclassified non-coding RNA, 543 nt
Filed under: Lepidosperma tortuosum
Lineage: Eukaryota; Viridiplantae; Streptophyta; Magnoliopsida; Poales; Cyperaceae
Description: partial external transcribed spacer 1
Source: RNAcentral